Molecule: long non-coding RNA, 331 nt
Filed under: Cicer arietinum (chickpea)
Lineage: Eukaryota; Viridiplantae; Streptophyta; Magnoliopsida; Fabales; Fabaceae
Description: long non-coding RNA (CARI_LNC002010)
Source: RNAcentral
UGGUAUCAUCCCGUGGCCCAUCAUGGUCACCACUAUCACCAUGGCCCCAUCGCGAUCACCAUGUACUAUGAAAUGCAUGAGCAUCCUCUAACUCUUUUCACCAUAAGCAUUAAGUAAAUGCAACUAUUAAAAGAUUCCCCAUUUUUAAUACUCAUUUAACACUAAUGAUUUUUCAAACACAACACAGAGCAUACUCAAACAUAUUUAUUCACACCAAUUAAAAUUUCCACAACCACACAUAAAUCACAACUCCAAAUUCCAUUCACACCUAAAUUGAAUUAAAUUCAUUUUCCACCAAGUCACACAUAAAUUUCUUCUCAAAAAUUCAUAA